Molecule: long non-coding RNA, 613 nt
Organism: Asparagus officinalis (garden asparagus)
Lineage: Eukaryota; Viridiplantae; Streptophyta; Magnoliopsida; Asparagales; Asparagaceae
Exons: 3
Source: RefSeq, a predicted model, not a curated record
CUCUCAAUAAUUUCUCGACAGUAAAAAAAACACUCUCUUUGGCGUAGCUCAUCCUCUCCGCUUCAAUCAAGUUAGUGGUCAUGGAUGGCCUCUGACGCUCCUCCUCUGGAUUUCCUCUUCUCCUUAGGAGCUUCUUCAUGGCUCCAUCCUCCUCCGCCAAUCCUCCACCUUUUUCGAUUUUGAAAGCCCACGACUCCUUCCUCCUCCUCCUCGACAUCGCAAGUUGAGGGCCUCAACAAGAUUCCUAUUCCAUUGACCGUUUCUGCGAUCCACUCAAGUAAUAGAAUGAGAUUGGGAUGAGUUCAAAGAAGUUCAACAAAGGAGCCACAUAACCACUGUGGUUGAUAACUUGAAGACUCGUUUGAUGAGUGCAACAAAGGAGCUCAAAGAAGUCCUAACCAUGCGGACAGAGGUCGGGACUUCUAGACAAGGUGGAGCUGGUGAUGAGAAUGUUGAUGAUGAUGAUCAGGAGGACUGAUUUGUUUUUUUUUACCUUUGAAAACAAUGAAUGAGUGUUGUAUAAACAAUAUUUAUCAUGGUGUGUGAUGUAUAAACAACGUUUAUCAUGUUGGGAUAUUUUAAUUAAAUUAUAUAUGUUAUAUAUGCGUGAGAA